This 500-nucleotide ribosomal RNA is filed under the name uncultured bacterium. RNAcentral describes it as "partial 16S ribosomal RNA". It matches the Rfam family "Bacterial small subunit ribosomal RNA", at positions 29 to 523 of the family's 1533-position model. The record is from RNAcentral.
AUUGAACGCUGGCGGCAUGCCUUACACAUGCAAGUCGAACGGCAGCGCGGGAGCAAUCCUUGCGGCGAGUGGCGAACGGGUGAGUAGUGCAUCGGAACGUGCCCAGUUGUGGGGGAUAGCCCGGCGAAAGCCGGAUUAAUACCGCCAGAGACCAGAGGGUGAAAGCGGGGGAUCGAAAGACCUCGCGCGACUGGUGCGGCCGAUGUUAGAUUAGGUAGUUGGUGGGGUAAGGGCCUACCAAGCCUGCGAUCUGUAGCUGGUCUGAGAGGACGCCCAGCCACACUGGGACUGAGACACGGACCAGACUCCUACGGGAGGCAGCAGUGGGGAAUUUUGGACAAUGGGCGCAAGCCUGAUCCAGCCAUGCCGCGUGCGGGAAGAAGGCCUUCGGGUUGUAAACCGCUUUUGUCGGGGAAGAAACGGCCUGGGCUAAUACCUUGGGCUAAUGACGGUACCCGAAGAAUAAGCACCGGCUAACUACGUGCCAGCAGCCGCAGUAA